AUUGUGGGCUCUUUAUGUUUUAACAGCCCACGGAGCAUAACAUGAGCUUAGAGCCUUAAGAGUUCCGAUAUUGGGCUUUUAUAUUUUCUUUUAUUUUAUUUAUUUUUUCAACGGCUGGCUUUUAGAUCUAGAUCUAGAUCUAUUUGCUUUCGCCUGUAUUUGUAUUAAACGGUCCCUUGGUGAGAACAAGAACAUCGUUGAGAUCGAGCCGCCGCCAUCCGUCGUAACUUCAGUGGCGGCGGCGGAUGAUCAAGAAGAUACCGCAUGGGAUCAAGUUUGAUUGUAUUUCCGGCACCUUAAUUGGAUGGGCUAUGUGUCGGAUGCUUGCGUUAUGCACAAUACUUUGAAAAUAAUAAUAGAUGAACUUGUUACGACACAAAUACAGUAACAAUAUGAAUCCAAUAGGAUUGUUCUUCGAAAUUUGUUUUUCUUUGUGCAAAGCAUCAAAGACAGUGAUUUGAAAACUGCAAAAGACAUAACGAAGAGUUUGUAAGGUUUGUCAUCAAUAAAAAUUGUGAAGCAAAAACUUUAUGUUGCAGAGUCCAAAAUGUAAGGCUAUGUUCAUGGCAAGUCUCAUGAACGUGAUUUUCCACGAACAUGGGCUUUCAUUUGGACACUGCAACAUGAAGUGUUGUUUCACACUUUUUGUUGAUACUAAACCUUAUGAUCUCUUUGUUUCGGUCUAAAAUGUCUUUUGCAGUUUUCCAGUCACAUGUCUUUGAUGCUUUGGAGAGUGGAAAACAAAUUUCAAGGGUUAUUUGUUGUUACUCUAUUUUUAUCGUAACAAGUUCACUUUCGUUUUCAAAGUAGUGUCCGAUUUAGAGGUGACAACAUACCAAUGCAAAUGGCCUCUCUAGAUGCAAAGCUCAAGAAUUGGUGCCCAUGACUUGAAAAUAUUGAAUCAGAAUGAUGUUUUAUGUUUAACUUGGGUCCUAUAGGGAUGUUUUAUGUACUUGAAUUUUAUUUUCUGACUUAUUUGGCUUGCAAUGUUCCUACAAGACAUAACAUAUCUUUUUGGACAAUUAUGAAUUCCCUUAAAUUCCUUCUAUAUAAUCAAAUCAAUGGUUGCGCUUAGCUGCUGCCACACUACCCUUUUAGUCAUAACCACCGGUUGUUGAACCCAGUGGCGAAGCUUGAGAUUUCCGACCGGG
This 1151-nucleotide long non-coding RNA is filed under the name Helianthus annuus (common sunflower). Lineage: Eukaryota; Viridiplantae; Streptophyta; Magnoliopsida; Asterales; Asteraceae. The record is from RNAcentral.